Molecule: ribosomal RNA, 1220 nt
Filed under: Allacma fusca
Lineage: Eukaryota; Metazoa; Arthropoda; Collembola; Symphypleona; Sminthuridae
Description: 16S ribosomal RNA
Rfam family: Bacterial large subunit ribosomal RNA (bases 819-1173)
Source: RNAcentral
GCCUAAUUACUUUAAUAAAUUUAUUUUAAAUGUUUUUUUUAUUUUAGUAAUAUAGGGAACAAUUUUUUUUUAGUAAUAAUUAUUUUAUUUUUGAAAUAUAUUAAAUAUUAAAUAUAUAAAAAUUAAAAAUUUACCUUUUGUAUCAGUGAAUUUAAAAUUUUAUAAACUAUUUUAUUUUCUCGAAAAGUAGAGAUUUAGGUGUUUAACAGUGUAAUAAUUUAAUAUCUUACUUAGUAACAGCACUUAGAGAAGAAAUUUCUUUCGGUUUACUUAUAUCUAGUUCCUUACUAAUUAAACAAAGUUUAAGUCCUAGAAGUUUUUCUUUUUUAUAAAAGGAUAAAUUUUUUGUACUAAAAGUUUAAAGGGAUAAUCUUUUAAAUUAUUAAUUUAAUAUUUUUGUUUUUGAUUAGAAUCUUUAAUGGACUUAGAGUUAGUCAUUUAGUAUGUUAAAAUUAAUGAUUUUAUUUAUUUUAUUUAAAUCAAAAUUUAUUUAUUAGUCAGGAUAAGUUUAAAUUAUAAAACUUAAUUUAUAAUUAAAUUAUUAGUAUAUAUAUAUUUUAUAUCUUUAAAUCAUAAGAAAAUUUAUUUUAUGAACUCGGCAAUUAUUAGGUUGAAUGUUUAACAAAAACAUUUCUAUAAAUUUAAAUUUAUAGUAUAGUCUGCCCACUGAAUUUUAAAGGGCCGCGGUACUCUGACCGUGCAAAGGUAGCAUAAUCAUUAGUCUUUUAAUUGAAGGAUUGUAUGAAUGGCUUAACAAUCUAGUACUUUAUUAAAUAAAUAGAUUGAAAUUAAAUUUUAAGUGAAAAUUCUUAUAUUUUACUAAAAGACGAUAAGACCCUAUAGAUCUUUAUUUUUAUUAGUAUAUAUGAAUAUGGAGGUUGUUGUAUAUAUUACUAAAAGUUUUAUUGGGGCAAUAAAAGAAUAAAGUAAAAUUCUUUCUAUAUAUUUAUUUUAUAUAAAUUUUAACCUUUUUUUUGAAUUAAAAAGUUACCUUAGGGAUAACAGCGUAAUAUAUUUGGAGAGUUCAAAUCGAUAAAUUAUCUUGCGACCUCGAUGUUGAAUUAAAAUUUCUUUAGGGGGCAGCAUUUCUAAGAAGAUAGUCUGUUCGACUAUGAAAUUUUUACAUGAUUUGAGUUCAAACCGGCGUAAGCCAGGUUGGUUUCUAUCUUUAGUUUAAUUUUAGAGACUCUAGUACGAAAGGAUUUAGUUUUUUUUAUAUU